ACACCAGCACCUCAAGUGGUCAGGAGGAUUAUUGGGCCUAAAGCAUCCGUAGCCUGUUCUAUAAGUUUUCGGUUAAAUCCAUUAGCUCAACUAAUGGGCUGCCGAAAAUACUGUAGAACUAGGGAGUGGGAGAGGUAGACGGUAUUCGGUAGGAAGGGGUAAAAUCCUUUGAUCUAUUGAGGACCACCUGUGGCGAAGGCGGUCUACCAGAACACGUUCGACGGUGAGGGAUGAAAGCUGGGGGAGCAAACCGGAUUAGAAACCCUAGUAGUCC
This 274-nucleotide ribosomal RNA is filed under the name uncultured bacterium. Its description in RNAcentral is "partial 16S ribosomal RNA". It matches the Rfam family "Archaeal small subunit ribosomal RNA", at positions 473 to 747 of the family's 1478-position model. The record is from RNAcentral.